UGUCCGGAACUUGCCAGAGAUAGCUUGGUGCCCGAAAGGGAAUCGGAACACAGGUGCUGCAUGGCUGUCGUCAGCUCGUGUCGUGAGAUGUUCGGGUUAAGUCCCGCAACGAGCGCAACCCUUAUCAUUAGUUGCUACGCAAGGGCACUCUAAUGAGACUGCCGGUGACAAACCGGAGGAAGUGGGGAUGACGUCAAGUCCUCAUGGCCCUUAUGGGUAGGGCUUCACACGUCAUACAAUGGUCGGUACAGAGGGUUGCCAAGCCGCGAGGCGGAGCCAAUCCCACAAAGCCGAUCGUAGUCCGGAUUGUUCUCUGCAACUCGAGAGCAUGAAGUCGGAAUCGCUAGUAAUCGCAGGUCAGCAUACUGCGGUGAAUACGUUCCCGGGUCUU
RNAcentral lists this ribosomal RNA (391 nucleotides) under uncultured Thiobacillus sp. RNAcentral's name for it is "bacterial SSU rRNA". It matches the Rfam family "Bacterial small subunit ribosomal RNA", at positions 987 to 1382 of the family's 1533-position model. The record is from RNAcentral. Lineage: Bacteria; Pseudomonadati; Pseudomonadota; Betaproteobacteria; Nitrosomonadales; Thiobacillaceae.